AUACAAACAGGGAUUCGCAAACAAAAAGGGGAAUACGUAGUCACUUUUUCCUGUCGCGUAAAAAAAAGUCUUUACGCGAGAGCAAUAGAGGUUGGGAUACAUCUAUCUCUUCUGAGCAAGCAGUGA
This 126-nucleotide ribosomal RNA is filed under the name Triticum aestivum (bread wheat). RNAcentral describes it as "partial small subunit ribosomal RNA". The record is from RNAcentral. Lineage: Eukaryota; Viridiplantae; Streptophyta; Magnoliopsida; Poales; Poaceae.